ACAUGCAAGGAAGGGAGGGAUUAUGACAUCAGACCAGGUGCCAAAAGAGGAAAAUUCUAGACCCAAGUCCUCUCAAAAAUGUCCUACCUUACUACCCACAAUAGGUUCCGGUUGAAGAAGGAAGCACUUUUUUAAGGAGGCAUCUUUUGGAAAUGCCCAAUGGAAAUCAAGUCAGGAGAAGGCCUGAAUAAACGACACACAGACCACCAGAUGUGGCUGAGAUGAAGUCAAUUCGCUGAACCAAUAAACGCACUUGGAAACUGACUCUUAACCACAACACA
Molecule: long non-coding RNA, 281 nt
Organism: Canis lupus familiaris (dog)
Lineage: Eukaryota; Metazoa; Chordata; Mammalia; Carnivora; Canidae
Exons: 2
Source: RefSeq, a predicted model, not a curated record